This 95-nucleotide small RNA is filed under the name Acetonema longum. RNAcentral describes it as "Guanidine-I sequence". It matches the Rfam family "Guanidine-I riboswitch aptamer". Rfam says of the family: This family represents a conserved RNA structure found upstream of the ykkC and yxkD genes in Bacillus subtilis and related genes in other bacteria. The function of this family is unclear although it has been suggested that it may function to switch on efflux pumps and detoxification systems in response to harmful environmental molecules. Lineage: Bacteria; Bacillati; Bacillota; Negativicutes; Acetonemataceae. RNAcentral also lists the same sequence under 1 other name. The record is from RNAcentral.
UAAGUGGUUUUCCAGGGUUCCGCAGCUUACUGGCUGAUCCGAGAGAAAACAACAGUCUACGGAAUGUAGCACGGAGGAAUAAAAGUCCGGGAGAA